RNAcentral lists this non-coding RNA (26 nucleotides) under Mus musculus (house mouse). Lineage: Eukaryota; Metazoa; Chordata; Mammalia; Rodentia; Muridae. The record is from RNAcentral.
UACACUCUAAACUCUGUCCACAAUCC